CAUUUAUUAGAUAAAAGGUCGAC
Molecule: non-coding RNA, 23 nt
Filed under: Arabidopsis thaliana (thale cress)
Lineage: Eukaryota; Viridiplantae; Streptophyta; Magnoliopsida; Brassicales; Brassicaceae
Source: RNAcentral